This 492-nucleotide ribosomal RNA is filed under the name uncultured bacterium. RNAcentral describes it as "partial 16S ribosomal RNA". It matches the Rfam family "Bacterial small subunit ribosomal RNA", at positions 29 to 507 of the family's 1533-position model. The record is from RNAcentral.
AGCGAACGCUGGCGGCAGGCUUAACACAUGCAAGUCGAACGGCAGGACCCUAAGAGCGUGCUGUUCUGGGGGGGCGGACGGGGGAGGGAGAGGAGAAUAACCGGACCUUCACUUUCGUGGGGGUUCAGGAAGGGAGAGCUACUCCCAUAUCGCAUAUCCUCCUGCAGGGUGAGGGUGGGAUCGUUUCGCCGUGUGGGGAUGGACGCGCGGAUGUCGGAUUAGCUAGUUGGCGGGGUAAAGGCCCACCAAGGGGCCGAUCCGUAGCCGGUCUGAGUGGAUGAUCAGCCACACUGGAACUGAGACACGGUCCAGACUCCUACGGGAGGCAGCAGUGGGGAAUAUUGGACAAUGGGCGCAAGCCUGAUCCAGCCAUACCGCGUGGGUGAAGAAGGCCUUCGGGUUGUAAAGCCCUUUUGUUGGGAAAGAAAAGCAGCAGGUUAAUACCCCGCUGUUCUGACGGUACCCAAAGAAUAAGCACCGGCUAACUUCGUG